GGAGGGGCCAGGACAGUCCCGGCCGCGCGGUGGACGGAGGGGCCAUUCCUCGGGGCGUUAGCAAAUGAAUUCCAUCCGAGUCAAUAUCGCCCAGCGAACGGUGUUUCUCUUUAGUCACCCGAGAACGAGAGGCACUUUUAAUUAGAAAUUAAUUAAUGAGCAGCUGCUCCUUCCUGCCCCACUGUAAUCAUUCGUCUCAAUUACAAAUGAGACCUAUGAAUGGACACGCUGAAGAUGUAAUCAACAGUUAAAAUUAGCCCGGCGCUGCGCAGGCUGCCGGCCCGGCCUCGCGCUCGCGCGCUCUGCUCCGAGUGGCAGGAAGGGGCUCGCAGGCGCCCCGCGCGUCUCGUCACUAUUGUUUAUCGGGAAUCUGCAACGCCUCCCUUCGGUUUCCACCCUACGCCGGAAUGGACUUUCAGAACCCACUGCGGCCGCAAGAGAGCCCGCAAGAGCCGGUCAAAAUGUCCUCAGACGAAAAUACGAGUUCUCCGAUCGCGUUGGACCGGAGCGGGCCACGUCCGAGCUGCUUGCAGAGGGAAACCAUCGGAAAUAAUGAAUAGCCGCUCCAUGCAAAUUAUUCAGACAGUUUAGCGUCGGUAGCCGCGAGAAAUAUAUAAAGAACACGAGUCAAACGACAUUAA
Molecule: long non-coding RNA, 641 nt
Organism: Macaca mulatta (Rhesus monkey)
Lineage: Eukaryota; Metazoa; Chordata; Mammalia; Primates; Cercopithecidae
Source: RefSeq, a predicted model, not a curated record